Molecule: ribosomal RNA, 515 nt
Filed under: uncultured Clostridium sp.
Lineage: Bacteria; Bacillati; Bacillota; Clostridia; Eubacteriales; Clostridiaceae
Description: bacterial SSU rRNA
Rfam family: Bacterial small subunit ribosomal RNA
Source: RNAcentral
UGGGGAGUACGACCGCAAGGUUGAAACUCAAAGGAUUGACGGGGGCCCGCACAAGCGGUGGAGCAUGUGGUUUAAUUCGAAGCAACGCGAAGAACUUACCAAGGCUUGACAUCCCGAUGACCGGUGUAGAGAUACACCUUUUCUUCGGAACAUCGUGACAGGUGGUGCAUGGUUGUCGUCAGCUCGUGUCGUGAGAUGUUGGGUUAAGUCCCGCACGAGCGCAACCCUUAUCUUCAGUAGCCAUCAUUUAGUUGGGCACUCUGGAGAGACUGCCGGGAUAACACGGAGGAAGGUGGGGAUGACGUCAAAUCAUCAUGCCCCUUAUGUCUUGGGCUCACACGUGCUACAAUGGCUGGUAACAAAGUGAGGCAAAACGGUGACGUCGAGCAAAUCACAAAACCCAGUCCCAGUUCGGAUUGUAGUCUGCAACUCGACUACAUGAAGCUGGAAUCGCUGUAAUCGCGAAUCAGCAUGUCGCGGUGAAUACGUUCCCGGGCCUUGCACACACCGCCCGU